ACGGAGGGUGCAAGCGUUAAUCGGAAUCACUGGGCGUAAAGCGCUCGUAGGCGGUUUGGUCAGUCAGAUGUGAAAGCCCUCGGCUUAACCGGGGAACUGCAUUUGAUACUGCCAGACUUGAGUGUCGGAGAGGGUGGUGGAAUUCCGGGUGUAGCAGUGAAAUGCGUAGAGAUCCGGAGGAACACCAAUGGCGAAGGCAGCCCCCUGGACGGAAACUGACGCUCAUGCGCGAAAGCGUGGGGAGCAAACAG
This 251-nucleotide ribosomal RNA is filed under the name uncultured prokaryote. RNAcentral's name for it is "partial 16S rRNA". It matches the Rfam family "Bacterial small subunit ribosomal RNA", at positions 525 to 775 of the family's 1533-position model. The record is from RNAcentral.